AGGAAAUAGAUACCCCGGUAGUCCAUGCUGUAAACGAUGAGAACUAGAUGUUGGGGGGCAUGACCUCUCAGUAUCGAAAGCUAACGCGAUAAGUUCUCCGCCUGGGGAGUACGGCCGCAAGGUUAAAACUCAAAGAAAUUGACGGGGGCCCGCACAAGCGGUGGAGCAUGUGGUUUAAUUCGAUGCAACGCGAAGAACCUUACCUACCUUUGAAUCCACGGAACCUAGCAGAGAUGUUGGGGUGCCUUCGGGAACCGUGAGACAGGUGCUGCAUGGCUGUCGUCAGCUCGUGUCGUGAGAUGUUGGGUUAAGUCCCGUAACGAGCGCAACCCUUGUCCUUAGUUGCCAUCAGGUUACGCUGGGCACUUUAAGGAGACUGCCGGUGAUAAACCGGAGGAAGGUGGGGAUGACGUCAAGUCCUCAUGGCCCUUACAGGUAGGGCUACACACGUGCUACAAUGGGCAGUACAGAGGGAAGCCAACCCGCGAGGGGAGCGAAUCUCAUAAAGCUGUUCGUAGUCCGGAUUGGAGUCUGCAACUCGACUCC
RNAcentral lists this ribosomal RNA (546 nucleotides) under uncultured bacterium. Its description in RNAcentral is "bacterial SSU rRNA". It matches the Rfam family "Bacterial small subunit ribosomal RNA", at positions 773 to 1319 of the family's 1533-position model. The record is from RNAcentral.